AAUAUUGGACAAUGGGCGAAAGCCUGAUCCAGCAAUGCCGCGUGAGUGAUGAAGGNCCNNGGGUUNUNAAGCUCUUUUACCAGNNNNNAUAAUGACAGUCCCUGGAGAAUAAGCUCCGGCUAACUCCGUGCCAGCAGCCGCGGUAAUACGGAGGGAGCUAGCGUUGUUCGGAAAUACUGGGCGUAAAGCGCACGUAGGCGGCGCCGUAAGUCAGGGGUGAAAUCCCGGGGCUCAACCCCGGAACUGCCUUUGAAACUGCAGUGCUAGAAUCUUGGAGAGGUCAGUGGAAUUCCGAGUGUAGAGGUGAAAUUCGUAGAUAUUCGGAAGAACACCAGUGGCGAAGGCGACUGACUGGACAAGUAUUGACGCUGAGGUGCGAAAGCGUGGGGAGCAAACAG
RNAcentral lists this ribosomal RNA (398 nucleotides) under uncultured bacterium. RNAcentral's name for it is "partial 16S ribosomal RNA". It matches the Rfam family "Bacterial small subunit ribosomal RNA", at positions 360 to 775 of the family's 1533-position model. The record is from RNAcentral.